UCUGAUCUGCUCAAUGAUUAAAAAUUAAAUAGCUGCAGUAUUUUAACUGUACUAAGGUAGCAUAAUCAUUUGUCUUUUUAUUAAAGUCUAGAAUGAAUGAUUUAAUGAAAAAAUUUCUGUCUCAAAUUAAUUUAUAAAAUUUUAUUUUAAGUUAAAAUUCUUAAAAUUUAUUUAAAGACGAGAAGACCCUAUAGAAUUUUAUAAAAUUUUUUAUUUUUAUUUUAUAAAUUAUUAAAAUUAAUUUAAAUUUUAUUUUAUUGGGGUAAUAAAAAAAUUUAAUUAAAUUUUUUUAAUAAUUUUUCAUAAAUUAAUGUAUUUAUUUUAUCCAAAUUAUUUUGAAAUAAAAAUUAAUUACCUUAGGGAUAACAGCGUAAUUUUUUUAAAAAGUUCAUAUUGAUAAAAAAGUUUGCGACCUCGAUGUUGAAUUAAGAUAAAAUUUUAAUGUAGAAAUUAAAAAU
Molecule: ribosomal RNA, 458 nt
Filed under: Aphelinus abdominalis
Lineage: Eukaryota; Metazoa; Arthropoda; Insecta; Hymenoptera; Aphelinidae
Description: partial 16S ribosomal RNA
Source: RNAcentral